AUUGAACGCUGGCGGCAUGCUUUACACAUGCAAGUCGAACGGCAGCGCGGGCUUCGGCCUGGCGGCGAGUGGCGAACGGGUGAGUAAUGCAUCGGAACGUGCCCAGUAGUGGGGGAUAGCCCGGCGAAAGCCGGAUUAAUACCGCAUACGACCUGAGGGUGAAAGCGGGGGACCGAAAGGCCUCGCGCUAUUGGAAUGGCCGAUGUCGGAUUAGCUAGUUGGUGGGGUAAUGGCUUACCAAGGCGACGAUCCGUAGCUGGUCUGAGAGGACGACCAGCCACACUGGGACUGAGACACGGCCCAGACUCCUACGGGAGGCAGCAGUGGGGAAUUUUGGACAAUGGGGGCAACCCUGAUCCAGCCAUGCCGCGUGCGAGAAGAAGGCCUUCGGGUUGUAAACCGCUUUUGUUCGGGAAGAAAUCCUCUGGGCUAAUACCCCGGGGGGAUGACGGUACCGGAAGAAUAAGCACCGGCUAACUACGUG
RNAcentral lists this ribosomal RNA (484 nucleotides) under uncultured bacterium. RNAcentral describes it as "partial 16S ribosomal RNA". It matches the Rfam family "Bacterial small subunit ribosomal RNA", at positions 29 to 507 of the family's 1533-position model. The record is from RNAcentral.